GAGGGUAUAGCUCAGUGGUAGAGUGCAUGCAUAGCAUGCAUGAGGUCCUGGGUUCAAUCCCCAGCACCUCCU
Molecule: transfer RNA, 72 nt
Filed under: Camelus bactrianus (Bactrian camel)
Lineage: Eukaryota; Metazoa; Chordata; Mammalia; Artiodactyla; Camelidae
Also listed under: 1 other name
Rfam family: tRNA
About the family: Transfer RNA (tRNA) molecules are approximately 80 nucleotides in length.
Source: Rfam by way of RNAcentral